RNAcentral lists this ribosomal RNA (377 nucleotides) under uncultured bacterium. RNAcentral's name for it is "bacterial SSU rRNA". It matches the Rfam family "Bacterial small subunit ribosomal RNA", at positions 521 to 896 of the family's 1533-position model. The record is from RNAcentral.
UAAUACGUAGGAGGCAAGCGUUAUCCGGAUUUACUGGGCGUAAAGAGGGCGUAGGCGGCUUUUCAAGUCGGAUGUGAAAUCUCCCGGCUCAACUGGGAGGGGUCAUUCGAUACUGAUGGGCUAGAGUGCAGCAGGGGGAGACGGAAUUCCCGGUGUAGUGGUGAUAUGCGUAGAUACCGGGAGGAACACCAGAGGCGAAGGCGGUCUCCCAGGCUGUUGCUGACGCUGAGGCCCGAAAGCGUGGGUAGCGAACAGGAUUAGAUACCCUGGUAGUCCACGCCGUAAACGAUGGACACUAGGUAUGGGGAGUAUCGACCCUCUCCGUGCCGAAGCUAACGCUUUAAGUGUCCCGCCUGGGGACUACGGCCGCAAGGCUA